RNAcentral lists this ribosomal RNA (184 nucleotides) under uncultured bacterium. RNAcentral's name for it is "partial 16S ribosomal RNA". It matches the Rfam family "Bacterial small subunit ribosomal RNA", at positions 1319 to 1500 of the family's 1533-position model. The record is from RNAcentral.
CAUGAAGCUGGAGUUACUAGUAAUCGCAGAUCAGAAUGCUGCGGUGAAUGCGUUCCCGGGUCUUGUACACACCGCCCGUCACACCACGGAAGUUGGGGGCGCCCGAAGCCACUUAGCUAACCCUUUUGGGAAGCGAGUGUCGAAGGUGAAAUCAAUAACUGGGGUGAAGUCGUAACAAGGUACC